Molecule: ribosomal RNA, 483 nt
Filed under: Triticum aestivum (bread wheat)
Lineage: Eukaryota; Viridiplantae; Streptophyta; Magnoliopsida; Poales; Poaceae
Description: partial small subunit ribosomal RNA
Source: RNAcentral
AUGAGAUUCUGGCGUAAUCUCUUUGCUGAGCUUUCUGAUCAGUGGGCUAAUGUGGUAGAUGGGGCUAAAAAGAUUUCUCUGAACGGUUCACCCGAUCAGGUUGUUUGGAAGAUUAAUAGUAAGGGGAAGUUCACCACAAAAUCUGUAUAUGAGUGGUUAGAAAAGGAUUUAUCGGGACCUGACUACGGGUUGAUCUGGAAAGCUAAAAUUCCCCUGAAGAUAAAAAUCUUCAUUUGGCAAUUGUUCUAGAAUGUCAUCCCUACCAGGGACAACCUGUGCAAGAGAAACUGGCCUGGGAACCCAACUUGCUCCUUUUGCCAUAAUAUUGAAACUACAGAUCAUCAUUUCUUUGGGUGUGUGUUUGCUCGCUCUGUUUGGGGGGCUAUUGGGGUGGCCUUCGGAGCAUCCUGUAGUCCUAAAACUAUUUGGCAAAGUUGGGCAUGGCUUUAUAAAUAUCUUCCAGGGGUAAAAAUCAUUACAUGA